UACGGAGGGUGCAAGCAUUAAUCGGAAUUAUUGGGCGUAAAGGGCGCGUAGGCGGAUCUCCAAGUCAGAUGUGAAAUUCCGAAGCUCAACUUCGGAGCUGCAUAUGAAACUGGAGACCUAGAGGGAUGGCGGAGAAAACGGAAUUCCACGUGUAGCGGUGAAAUGCGUAGAUAUGUGGAGGAACACCUGUGGCGAAAGCGGUUUUCUAGCUUAUACCUGACGCUGAGGCGCGAGAGCAAGGGGAUCAAACAGG
This 253-nucleotide ribosomal RNA is filed under the name uncultured Simkania sp. RNAcentral describes it as "partial 16S ribosomal RNA". It matches the Rfam family "Bacterial small subunit ribosomal RNA", at positions 524 to 776 of the family's 1533-position model. The record is from RNAcentral. Lineage: Bacteria; Pseudomonadati; Chlamydiota; Chlamydiia; Parachlamydiales; Simkaniaceae.